Molecule: non-coding RNA, 316 nt
Organism: Lolium perenne
Lineage: Eukaryota; Viridiplantae; Streptophyta; Magnoliopsida; Poales; Poaceae
Source: RefSeq, a predicted model, not a curated record
UAAUCUUUGAUGAGUCCAGCUCACUUUCUCCUUUCCCCUCUCACUAGAUUGGAUCUUGAUGCAGGUGCAUGUUGGUCCAAGCAUGGAGAAGGUUGAGCUAUCCUCAGAUCUGAAGUUCUUGAGCAAAGGGAUGUUUGGUUUAUACCAUGGUGAUAACCGAGAGAGGCAAUUGCUAAGUUGUGAUACUCUCAUACCUUUACUAGACGCGAGCAAUUCCGGAGAAGAAGAAGAAGUGGAAUUGGACAAGGAUUUUAUUUAUAUUGUUGGGAUUCUUAUAUUGAUGGAGUUGAAGAAGUACAGGGACAAAUAAGCCAAG